Molecule: long non-coding RNA, 233 nt
Filed under: Sorghum bicolor (sorghum)
Lineage: Eukaryota; Viridiplantae; Streptophyta; Magnoliopsida; Poales; Poaceae
Description: long non-coding RNA (SBIC_LNC014719)
Source: RNAcentral
UAUCCUCUAUUGACUGAUGUUUGUGAAUUUGAGCAUCUUCUAGAAUAAUCUUGGCAUCUUCUUAAAUUAUUUUUUUUAGAAAACAACAAUCAAAUGUGUAUUUGUCAUUAGUGUCCAACACUGGGCAUAAAAUAUGUAAGCUCAAGAUCUCCUUAUAGUAGUGUAGGCUACGUACGUCUUUUGUUUUACCUUACAUAGGACACAGCACCUGUGGCGCUAUUCGAUGCGUCCCU